UGUUGCCAGAAAGGGUGAUGGAGGUACAUGAUCCGUCCAGAUCCAACUCGAUAAUAGCAUACAAAUAUUCGUUCUAUGUUGUCAGUCGUCUGCCAUUUAUUCGCCACA
Molecule: unclassified non-coding RNA, 108 nt
Filed under: Drosophila pseudoobscura pseudoobscura
Lineage: Eukaryota; Metazoa; Arthropoda; Insecta; Diptera; Drosophilidae
Description: GA32292
Source: RNAcentral